RNAcentral lists this ribosomal RNA (496 nucleotides) under uncultured bacterium. RNAcentral's name for it is "partial 16S ribosomal RNA". It matches the Rfam family "Bacterial small subunit ribosomal RNA", at positions 29 to 507 of the family's 1533-position model. The record is from RNAcentral.
AUGAACGCUGGCGGCGUGCCUAAUACAUGCAAGUCGAGCGAACAGACGAGGAGCUUGCUCCUCUGACGUUAGCGGCGGACGGGUGAGUAACACGUGGAUAACCUACCUAUAAGACUGGGAUAACUUCGGGAAACCGGAGCUAAUACCGGAUAAUAUAUUGAACCGCAUGGUUCAAUAGUGAAAGACGGUUUUGCUGUCACUUAUAGAUGGAUCCGCGCCGCAUUAGCUAGUUGGUAAGGUAACGGCUUACCAAGGCAACGAUGCGUAGCCGACCUGAGAGGGUGAUCGGCCACACUGGAACUGAGACACGGUCCAGACUCCUACGGGAGGCAGCAGUAGGGAAUCUUCCGCAAUGGGCGAAAGCCUGACGGAGCAACGCCGCGUGAGUGAUGAAGGUCUUCGGAUCGUAAAACUCUGUUAUUAGGGAAGAACAAAUGUGUAAGUAACUAUGCACGUCUUGACGGUACCUAAUCAGAAAGCCACGGCCAACUACGUG